This is a long non-coding RNA of Nothoprocta perdicaria, 293 nucleotides long. RefSeq lists it as uncharacterized. NCBI's taxonomy places the organism in Eukaryota, Metazoa, Chordata, Aves, Tinamiformes, Tinamidae. The transcript has 3 exons. The record is from RefSeq and is a predicted model, not a curated record.
ACCCUUACUACAUUUUUGCAGGGGACUGUGCGUGCAAAUCGUUAAUCUUCAAACUGAGAAGAAAUAGGGUCUGUUCUUCUGCAGUCUGACCAGCAUCAAGUGCUCCAGGAUAUCUGUUCUUCAGAAAGCAUGAGUGAUCUGAGUAAUGCAGAACUUGCUUUUUCCUGGGAUAAUCCAUAGAGAUGGAUAUUGGGCAAGGAAAAUGCAGAAGGAAGCCAGGAUCAUGGGACCUCAUUGGACAAGCAGGAGCUUCUUCCCUAGACCCUGUUUGUUAUAUACGAACAUGGAUGUGU